This 795-nucleotide ribosomal RNA is filed under the name Triticum aestivum (bread wheat). Its description in RNAcentral is "partial small subunit ribosomal RNA". The record is from RNAcentral. Lineage: Eukaryota; Viridiplantae; Streptophyta; Magnoliopsida; Poales; Poaceae.
AUGCAAGGGGCGGAUAGGAGCUGGAAAGGUGGAGACAAUGGAUUCCGUUUUGAAGCCCAUUGGUUACAGGAGGAGGGAUGUGAGGAUGUCAUCAGAGAAGCAUGGGAGCAAAGCUGGGGAAGGAGAGACGGAGGGGUAGCGCAUGCUUUAAGAGAAGUGGCUGGGAAGCUGCGGACUUGGGACAGAGAAGUGGUCGGGGCAGUGGAGGGCCAGCUGAAAAAAGCUAAAGCGGAGCUGGAACGGUGUAUGGCAGCGAGAGUUUCGCAGGAAAAAAUAGAGGAGGAAGCUAGACUUAGGUGUGUGGUGGAUGAGCUGGAGGAGAAGAAGAACACGAUGUGGAAGCAGAGAGCACAUGUUUGGUGGCUGCUAGAUGGAGAUAGGAACACACGGUUCUAUCAUACUGUCGCUUCGGCGAGGAAAAAAGCGAACCGUAUUAAGGAGUUGAGGAGGGAGGAUGGAACCGUGGUGGCGGAGGAGGAUUUAACUAACUAUGUGUCCUCUUUUUUUCAGGAUCUUUUCACCACCUCGGCGGGCAACCGCGUUGAUGAACUCAUCGCGAAGGUCCAGCCACGUGUGACAGCUGAAAUGGCAAACUUUCUUGAUGCUGUAUUCACACGAGAGGAGGUGAAGGCAGCUCUAGACCACAUCGGCGAUCUUAAAGCUCCGGGGCCUGACGGCAUGCCUUCUAUUGUGUUCAAGCGUCAUUGGCAUUUCAUGGGGAUUAUGUGGUUGACGAGGUCCUGGCCGUGCUUAAUGGAGGGGACAUGCCGGCAGGGUGGAAUGACAUAUUGGUAG